UACGGGGGGGGUAAGCGUUGUUCGGAAUUACUGGGCGUAAAGCGCGUGUAGGCGGCUUUGUAAGUCGGGUGUGAAAGCCCUCAGCUUAACUGAGGAAGUGCGCCCGAAACUGCAUUGCUUGAGUACCAGAGAGGGUGGCGGAAUUCCCGAAGUAGAGGUGAAAUUCGUAGAUAUCGGGAGGAACACCGGUGGCGAAGGCGGCCACCUGGAUGGAUACUGACGCUGAGACGCGAAAGCGUGGGUAGCAAACAGG
Molecule: ribosomal RNA, 253 nt
Filed under: uncultured bacterium
Lineage: Bacteria
Description: partial 16S ribosomal RNA
Rfam family: Bacterial small subunit ribosomal RNA
Source: RNAcentral